AUUGAACGCUGGCGGCAUGCCUUACACAUGCAAGUCGAACGGCAGCACGGGUGCUUGCACCUGGUGGCGAGAGGCGAACGGGUGAGUAAUACAUCGGAACAUGUCCUGUAGUGGGGGAUAGCCCGGCGAAAGCCGGAUUAAUACCGCAUACGAUCUACGGAUGAAAGCGGGGGACCUUCGGGCCUCGCGCUAUAGGGUUGGCCGAUGGCUGAUUAGCUAGUUGGUGGGGUAAAGGCCUACCAAGGCGACGAUCAGUAGCUGGUCUGAGAGGACGACCAGCCACACUGGGACUGAGACACGGCCCAGACUCCUACGGGAGGCAGCAGUGGGGAAUUUUGGACAAUGGGCGAAAGCCUGAUCCAGCAAUGCCGCGUGUGUGAAGAAGGCCUUCGGGUUGUAAAGCACUUUUGUCCGGAAAGAAAUCCUUGGCCCUAAUACGGUCGGGGGAUGACGGUACCGGAAGAAUAAGCACCGGCUAACUACGUG
Molecule: ribosomal RNA, 486 nt
Filed under: uncultured bacterium
Lineage: Bacteria
Description: partial 16S ribosomal RNA
Rfam family: Bacterial small subunit ribosomal RNA
Source: RNAcentral